This 82-nucleotide transfer RNA is filed under the name Planctomycetia bacterium. RNAcentral's name for it is "tRNA-Tyr". It matches the Rfam family "tRNA". Rfam says of the family: Transfer RNA (tRNA) molecules are approximately 80 nucleotides in length. Their secondary structure includes four short double-helical elements and three loops (D, anti-codon, and T loops). Further hydrogen bonds mediate the characteristic L-shaped molecular structure. tRNAs have two regions of fundamental functional importance: the anti-codon, which is responsible for specific mRNA codon recognition, and the 3' end, to which the tRNAs corresponding amino acid is attached (by aminoacyl-tRNA synthetases). tRNAs cope with the degeneracy of the genetic code in two manners: having more than one tRNA (with a specific anti-codon) for a particular amino acid; and 'wobble' base-pairing, i.e. permitting non-standard base-pairing at the 3rd anti-codon position. The record is from RNAcentral. Lineage: Bacteria; Pseudomonadati; Planctomycetota; Planctomycetia. RNAcentral also lists the same sequence under 1 other name.
GGGGGUUUUCCCGAGCGGUCAAAGGGGGCAGACUGUAAAUCUGUUAGCUCAGCUUUCGGAGGUUCGAAUCCUUCAACCCCCA